UGCCAGCAGCCGCGGUAAUACGGAGGGGGUUAGCGUUGUUCGGAAUUACUGGGCGUAAAGCGCACGUAGGCGGAUUGGAAAGUUGGGGGUGAAAUCCCGGGGCUCAACCCCGGAACUGCCUCCAAAACUAUCAGUCUAGAGUUCGAGAGAGGUGAGUGGAAUUCCCAGUGUAGAGGUGAAAUUCGUAGAUAUUGGGAAGAACACCAGUGGCGAAGGCGGCUAACUGGCUCGGUACUGACGCUGAGAUGCGAAAGCGUGGGGAGCAAACAGGAUUAGAUA
This 279-nucleotide ribosomal RNA is filed under the name uncultured bacterium. RNAcentral's name for it is "partial 16S ribosomal RNA". It matches the Rfam family "Bacterial small subunit ribosomal RNA", at positions 506 to 784 of the family's 1533-position model. The record is from RNAcentral.